GGACCAAGGAGUCCUUCGAGUCGGCGAGCUAUUGGCGUCUCGCGAAUGCUAAAAGCGAAGCGAAAGCAUCCCCGCCACGUCGCCGUCGGUGACGACGGCUCGGGGCGCAGCGUGAGAUGAUGGCGACGGCGCGAGCGCGCGUCUCCGGACGCGCGCCGUCGCCGGCGUCCGCAAUCUCGAGAUGGUCUAGCGAAAGCCAUCCUCCGAGCCGGCGCGGAGGCACCCGAGAGGUGGUGAUCUAUGCCUGAUCAGGGUGAAGUGAGAGGAAACUCUGAUGGAAGCUCGUUAACGAUUCUGACGUGCAAAUCGAUCGUCCAAGUCAGGUAUAGGGGCGAAAGACCGAUCGAAGCACCUAGUAGCUGGUUCCUCCCGAAGUUUCCCUCAGGAUAGCUAGAACGAAGUCUGACAGAGAGAGAGAGGAGGAGUUACAUGUGGUAAAGCGAAUGAUUAGAGGCAUCGGAGUUGAAACGGCUUUGAACUAUUCUCAAACUUUCAAUAUGUGUGAACCGGUAGCUUGAGCGAAGUCUCGCGUCCGCGUUCGCGCGGGCGCGAGUUAAGCGACCGGCAAAUGAAGCGUUCUAAGUGGGCCGACCUUGGUAAGCAUGGCCGGCGAUGUGGGAUGAACCAAAUGCGAAGUUAGAGUGCCCAAAGCUAUGUUCAUGGGACACCACAAAAGGCGUUAGUAACUAAGGACAGCAGGUCGGUGGCCAUGGAGGUAG
RNAcentral lists this ribosomal RNA (719 nucleotides) under Metopiasini sp. JP-2016. Its description in RNAcentral is "eukaryotic LSU rRNA". It matches the Rfam family "Eukaryotic large subunit ribosomal RNA", at positions 663 to 1263 of the family's 3401-position model. The record is from RNAcentral. Lineage: Eukaryota; Metazoa; Arthropoda; Insecta; Coleoptera; Staphylinidae.